This is a long non-coding RNA of Ictalurus punctatus (channel catfish), 1654 nucleotides long. RefSeq lists it as uncharacterized. The transcript has 4 exons. NCBI's taxonomy places the organism in Eukaryota, Metazoa, Chordata, Actinopteri, Siluriformes, Ictaluridae. The record is from RefSeq and is a predicted model, not a curated record.
GCCCUGUUACAAAUUGUUCUUUGGCUAUGCCCCAUGUUUGUGCAAUGGCUCAGACCGGUUUUUCCUCUUUUCUCAGCUUCAAAACGGCUUGCUUUUCUCCCAUAGACAGCUCUCUGGUCUUCAUGUCGGUUUAUUCUUUUUAACAACAAAUGCUGUCUCCACAGGUGAAACCCAGGGCUCAAACCAAGAGAAGACAUUCAGAGCUAUUCAUUCUUUAAAGUCCAUUUAACAAGUUUCCUUCUGCUUCUGAGUUCAAAGAGCUUUUUCUCAUCCCCAUCCUGGAUCGCCCCUACAGCUGCCUGUUUGGUACAUUCCUCUACAGCAGUGAGCAGGAGAGAAUGGAAAAGGAAGUACAGGGUAAAACGGUCACUGUGGUCCUACGUUAACAGUCAGCCGGAGGACUUCACUAACCCGUUCUAUGUGGACUGUAAAAACCAGGUGCUGUAUCCACUGGCCAGUCUCACACAUCUGGAGCUCUGGGUGGGUUAUUAUGUGCGCUGGAACCCACGCAUGAGACCACAGGUGCUUAUACUGCAAACCACACUCUAUGAAAUUCUGGGGAAAUGCUCAAAAAUAGUGUUUCCAAUAUAUACCAAAAUACCUAGUUACUUGUAUAACUGAACAGUGUCACUUCAGACACAUGAUGAAUGUCACUUUUUAUUACUAGAUAUUUCUGGGUUUUAAUUUCCAAGUUUGCUUUAAAAACACAAAACCAUUUCUAUCAGCACAAAGCUAAAAACACAAAAGCUGGAGUAAUGGGUCGGUAAGCAUAAAAAGUGCCGUACACAGUGGAACUGGACACACGAGGAACUCUGACACUGUUGACUCUUCAGUGGUUCCAUUUUCUGUUCUAGUUUGUAGGUACAGGUUUCAGUCUUCAACAACAUUGUAGUUUUCUUUUUAAAAUGCACUCCUUGGUUGUGCUCACUGCAUUACAAACUCAAAUCCAACAUUGUGAGAUUAUUUUUUUUAAGUGUGUAGAAAUGGAGUUUUCUUGUGAUUCCUCUAUAUUCCUGUAUAUUUCAUGAUUGGCUGGUUAGAAAACUACAUGAACGUACAGGUGUUCCUAAUAAAGUGGACGGUGAGUGAACAUGACGUGGCUGAAACGAUUUCCAAAACACUUCAGGAGCAGCUAGCGAUAAAGAUUAAGAUGCCGCUCCAUCAGAAUUUGAGAGAGUUACUGUUUUUUGCGUGAAGAACGUGGAGGAGCUCCAGAGAGAGGCCACGUCAUCCUGCUCCAUCUCCUCAUCCUCAGAGCAUACUUCUCCCUCCUCACAUAGUGGUACACCACUUCACACUGCCGUCUAAACACACACACACACACACACAUUUAAGAGCACACACUGUCUUUACUCAAUGAAUACACUCUCAGGCACAAGUAGGGAGUGGAUGAGUAUGAAGCGGACACACACACACACACACACAUUCCUGUUUGCAAUUUUUUUUAACUAUAGAGAAGUAACCUAGUGUCACAUUUUAUAAAUCCUUAAUACUUAAAAAUGGAUCUUGGAAUGAUAGUCAGCAUGUCUGCAGCAUGAACUCAUAGUAUUUACGAUCUAGUAUUUGACCUGUAAAUAUGUAAAAAAGAGAAGUAUUCAUAUAUUUGUCCUUACACGUCAUGUUCAUCUUUCCCUGUGGCCUCAUUUGCUCCUCU